Molecule: antisense RNA, 75 nt
Filed under: Streptomyces sp. XY431
Lineage: Bacteria; Bacillati; Actinomycetota; Actinomycetes; Kitasatosporales; Streptomycetaceae
Description: ASpks sRNA
Rfam family: ASpks TB sRNA
Source: RNAcentral
CUUCAACGAGCCCAGCCAGAGCGGCUGUUCGGCGUCACGGCCCUGGCCGUACGUGGCCAGCAGGGCCUGUGCCUC